AGCGAACGCUGGCGGCAGGCCUAACACAUGCAAGUCGAACGAACCUUUCGGGGUUAGUGGCGGACGGGUGAGUAACACGUGGGAACGUGCCUUUAGGUUCGGAAUAACUCAGGGAAACUUGUGCUAAUACCGAAUGUGCCCUACGGGGGAAAGAUUUAUCGCCUUUAGAGCGGCCCGCGUCUGAUUAGCUAGUUGGUUGAGGUAAUGGCUCACCAAGGCGACGAUCAGUAGCUGGUCUGAGAGGAUGAUCAGCCACAUUGGGACUGAGACACGGCCCAAACUCCUACGGGAGGCAGCAGUGGGGAAUCUUGCGCAAUGGGCGAAAGCCUGACGCAGCCAUGCCGCGUGAAUGAUGAAGGUCUUAGGAUUGUAAAAUUCUUUCACCGGGGACGAUAAUGACGGUACCCGGAGAAGAAGCCCCGGCUAACUUCGUG
This 434-nucleotide ribosomal RNA is filed under the name uncultured bacterium. Its description in RNAcentral is "partial 16S ribosomal RNA". It matches the Rfam family "Bacterial small subunit ribosomal RNA", at positions 29 to 507 of the family's 1533-position model. The record is from RNAcentral.